AUUGAACGCUGGCGGCAGGCCUAACACAUGCAAGUCGAACGGUAACAGGAAGCAGCUUGCUGCUUUGCUGACGAGUGGCGGACGGGUGAGUAAUGUCUGGGAAACUGCCCGAUGGAGGUGGAUAACUACUGGAAACGGUAGCUAAUACCGCAUAACGUCGCAAGACCAAAGAGGGGGACCUUAGGGCCUCUUGCCAUCGGAUGUGCCCAGAUGGGAUUAGCUAGUAGGUGGGGUAACGGCUCACCUAGGCGACGAUCCCUAGCUGGUCUGAGAGGAUGACCAGCCACACUGGAACUGAGACACGGUCCAGACUCCUACGGGAGGCAGCAGUGGGGAAUAUUGCACAAUGGGCGCAAGCCUGAUGCAGCCAUGCCGCGUGUAUGAAGAAGGCCUUCGGGUUGUAAAGUACUUUCAGCGGGGAGGAAGGGAGUAAAGUUAAUACCUUUGCUCAUUGACGUUACCCGCAGAAGAAGCACCGGCUAACUCCGUG
This 490-nucleotide ribosomal RNA is filed under the name uncultured bacterium. Its description in RNAcentral is "partial 16S ribosomal RNA". It matches the Rfam family "Bacterial small subunit ribosomal RNA", at positions 30 to 507 of the family's 1533-position model. The record is from RNAcentral.